UUUCCGUAGGUGAACCUGCGGAAGGAUCAUUACUGAGUGAGGGCCCCUCGGGGUCCAACCUCCCACCCGUGUUUAACGAACCUUGUUGCUUCGGUGGGCCCGCCUCACGGCCGCCGGGGGGCAUUUGCCCCCGGGCCCGCGCCCGCCGAAGCCACCUGUGAACGCUGUCUGAAGUAUGCAGUCUGAGACAAUUAUUAAAUUAAUUAAAACUUUCAACAACGGAUCUCUUGGUUCCG
Molecule: unclassified non-coding RNA, 236 nt
Filed under: plant metagenome
Description: partial contains small subunit ribosomal RNA, internal transcribed spacer 1, and 5.8S ribosomal RNA
Source: RNAcentral